GACGAACCGUGCGAACGUUGUUCGGAAUCACUGGGCUUAAAGGACGCGUAGGCGGACCAUCAAGUCAGGGGUGAAAUACUUCGGCUUAACCGGAGAAUGGCUUCUGAUACUGGCGGUCUUGAGGGGUGUAGGGGCAUGUGGAACUUCCGGUGGAGCGGUGAAAUGCGUAGAUAUCGGAAGGAACGCCGGUGGCGAAAGCGACGUGCUGGACACCUUCUGACGCUGAGGCGCGAAAGCCAGGGGAGCAAACGGG
This 253-nucleotide ribosomal RNA is filed under the name uncultured bacterium. RNAcentral's name for it is "partial 16S ribosomal RNA". It matches the Rfam family "Bacterial small subunit ribosomal RNA", at positions 524 to 776 of the family's 1533-position model. The record is from RNAcentral.